Molecule: RNA transcript, 5535 nt
Organism: Macaca mulatta (Rhesus monkey)
Lineage: Eukaryota; Metazoa; Chordata; Mammalia; Primates; Cercopithecidae
Gene name: glyceraldehyde-3-phosphate dehydrogenase pseudogene
Source: RefSeq, a predicted model, not a curated record
GAGAAAGUAAGGUAAUUAAGAGAUUAAUCAGAGUAUCUGUGCCAAGGUUUUGAUGAGGUCUGGAAGCAGGGUCCAGCAGUGGAAGCAGAGGAGGGCAGAUACAACAGGUUUGAAUUUCAGACCUUACCUUAAAGGUCCUGAUACCUACUGGAUCUGGGUUGAGAGAAAAAGAAGACAAAAUCACCCCUGUGGUUUCCUGCUUGGGCAAUUGGGAGGAGAGUGGAGCCAUUACUAGGGAAUUGCGCAUGGGCUUAAAUGAGGAAUUUCCAUGAAAAACUCUUAUCAGAUAUCAAAAGCAGAAAACAAUGCUGAAAGUUAGCGACCAAAGAACUAAUAUUCCAGCUGUCUAACUGAGGGCAGUGGUUACAACUUUAAUGUCUUCAGGCUCCUCUGAAAUCCCCAAGACAUGGUGCUGACAGUAAAGUUGUCACCUGGAAUUAGCCCACGCCAUGAACACUGUGGUACAUGGAGCUUGGAUAAAUACUCUACGCUUGUUUGUGCUUUACAAUCUGCAUAUUACUCACAACUUGCUUAUUUCCUUUUACAGCAAUCUCAUGAGAUAGGUUUUCUGAGUCGCACUUUAUUGAUGAGGAAACUUAGGAUCAGAGAGGUUAAGGGACAGAUCAAAGGUCACAUUUCUAGUGGAGACUCAAACUUGCCCACCCCACCUCCAAGCCUCGUACCCUGUACACUAGGUACAGGACUGGCUGUUUACAACAAACUUUUCUGAGAAAGAGUAAGAUUAAGCCAGUUCAACUGAAAUUGGCAACAAAGGCCAAAGAACAGUGAGAGUAAAAUUCAGAGUAAAAAAUUCAAGACUGGAGCAAUUCCUUCCAGGGGUUCAGAUGGGACCAUUUACUCUCCUGAUGCCUCUGUCAUGUUUUGUCUACUCCCAGCCCCUUCCCACUGUCAGGCAACUCCAAGGAGGCCCUGCAAUGGGGGAGGCAGGGAAGAGGCUGCUGGGGAGGACAUGGGUAACAGACUGAGAAUGGAAUUUUCCCUGGUUGUAUUUCCACCUCUGCACUUCCUGCUCCCUUCCUCUGCUUCCCCUUUGCUGCCAACUUCAGACAGACUGGCUCAAAGGAAUUGCCUUUUCAAAGUUGUAGAAGUCUAAAGCCAAGAGAAAAGGCUCUUCCUCAGUGAGUUCACAGGGAUCUAGAGACCAGGAAAGGGGACUUUGUGGAUGAACCCAUAACUCCCUCUUUCCCCAAGCUGCUAGAAGAACUAUUGGUUAAGAGCACAGAUGCUGCACUAGACCUCAAGGGUUCAAAUCCAGUUUUGCCAUAUUCUAACUCUGAGACUUUCGAUGAGUUAAUUAACCUCUCUGUGUCUGUCUCCUAAUCUGUAAGAAAGGAGGACAAUAAUAUUAACAAUCUCAUAGGGUUGCUAUGUGUAACAAAUGAGUCAGCACAUGCAAAACAUGUAGCACCGUAUCUGGCACAGAAAGAACACUGAAAGGAUUCUCUGUUUUUAUCUUCAUACAGGCCACUGCCCAUCCGUUAUAUCCCCUAACUUUUCACCAUAAGGAACAAUUCCUCUAGGCUGAGCAUUGCUUUUUUUCUGGUAUUAGGUGUUAGAUUGCAAAUAUUGGUGACACACAAGGAUUAGAAACAUUUAAUCUUGGUCUUGUGUUAGUAUUUGUUUAUGAAAGACACCAUGAAAAUAGAAGGUGGAGGAAAUUGGAAGAGGUCAGAGAAGAACAAAAGAAGAGCAGAGUUUUGGGUGUGGUGGUCCAUGAGUGCUGUCAAGUAGAGGCUUCUCUGAGGGCAGGGCAUGGCUCUCUGCGCAGUCAGAGCCCAGGUGUAGACACACAGUUCACCCACCCCCUGGGUUGGGGAGGAGGACGGGGAAUUGGGCACCCAGGGAGGCAAAGACCCACUUUGCCAAGUAUCAGCUCCAGGGUAAAGUGAUGAUGCUUCUGGAUGAAGCUCUGGUCUGAGUUCUGCUACGCGUUAACCAGAUGAUCUUGGCAAGUUGCUUUAUGUUUCUGGACCUUGAUAGUUCAUUGUCCAGUUGGAUAUGACUCCUUUUCUACUUUCCUUUUGGGGUUAUUUGCACAAGGAGUUGCUAGAGCAAGGUCUGCAAUUUCCUUGGGGUAUUGAGCAACAGAGACAAAUGGUUAAAAACUAAAGCCUUAGAUGACAAAUCGAAAAGAGGGAUAUCUGGCCUUAUACUGCCCCUUCCUCUGUCUCUGCUCUUAGCUGUGCAAUUGUGCAUGCUGUCUAUCUCUCUCACUGAUGCUCUCUCUCUCCUCUACCUCUCUCUCUCACUCUUUCUCAUGCAUUCUCUCUCUUUCUCAUUCUCUCUGAUUUUCUUUCCCCCUCAUUUUCUCUCUCUCUUUUGCUCUCUCUCUCUCUCACACACACACACACUUACACACUCAUCCAUAUCUUCACUUCCUUUUAUUUUGCCUUCACCAAAGGUGCCAAGGUUGCUACAAAACAAAACAAAGCUCAGGGCAGUCUAGAGAGGCAGGGACCCCCUGGUGAGGUCUCCAAGUAAAUGGUGUCCUUUGUGAAUGUUGCGAAGCAAUUGCCAAGACAUAAAGCUUCAGGACAUAAAAAAGUUGUAGACAAGAAAACUUUUGUAGACAAGAAACUGAUGUGGGAUUUUCUAGAUGAGAAGAAAAGGGGCCUGGUGUCCAAGUGGCUGCCUCUCAAGUUCUGGGUUAGGGCCGGAAUCCAGUCUCUGGACACACCAUUCAGAAUCUUUCACACCAUGCCAUUUCAUACUAUUUAAUUUUCUUUUUUUUCUUUUCUUUUUUUUUAGACUGUGGGUGGAGGAUUGGCUUAGAUUUGACUACAACUUUCUAUAACUUGCUAGAAAAGGUCCACCUUCUUGCACCCAUGCAGGGUUUAAAAUGGAGCCACACACCCAUGAAUCAAGGAAAAUUCCUCCCUCAAUUGUGAUCUGAAGGCCUUGUCCAAGGCCCUGAUCUCCUUCAGCUCCUUCUCCUUCACCAAGGGGCGGAUGAUUGACCCAGAAACCCUCCUGCACCUGUCACAAGGCAGCUCCAGCCCGUCAUGGCCAAUCCAAAGUAGCAGACAGCCACAUCUUCUUGUGCAGCGCCAGCCACAUCCCUGAGACACCAUGGUAAAGGUGAAGGCCAGAGUCAAUGGAUUUGGCCCUAUUGGGUGCCUGGUCACCAAGCCUACUUAUAACUCUGGUAAAGUGGAUAUUGUCACCAUCAAUGACCCCUUCAUUGAGCUCAACUACAUGGUCUACAUGUUCCAUAUGAUUUCACCCAUGGCAAAUUCCAUCGCACUGUAAAGGCUGAGAAUGGGAAGGUUGUCAUCAAUGGAAAUCCCACCACCAUCUUCCUCAAGCUAAAUCCCACCAAAAUCAAAUAAGGCAAUGCUGGUACUAAGCACAUUGUAGACUCCAGUGGCAUCUUCACUACCAUGGGGAAGUGUGUGGUUCAUUUGCAGGGGACAGUUAAAAGGAUCAUCAUCUCUGACCCCUCUGCUGACACCCCCAUGUUUGUGAUGGGUAUGAACCAUGAGAAAUACGACAACAGCCUCAAGAUCAUCAGCAAUGUUUCUUGUACCACCAACUGCUUAGCACCGCUGGCCAAGAUCAUUCAUGACAAGUUUAAUACAGUGAAGGGACUCAUGACCACAGUCAGUGCUAUGACUGAAAACUGUGGAUGGCCCCUCUGUGAAACUGUAGCAUGACAGCUGCAGGGCCCAAAGGAACAUCAUCCUUGCAUCUACUGGCACUGUCAAGGCUGUGGGCAAGUAUAUCAAUGAGCUGCAUGGGAAGAGCACUGGCAUGACAUUCCAGGUCCCCACCACAAACAUGUUGGUCAUAAAUCUGACCUGCCCUCAGGAAAAACAUGCCAAAUAUGAUAACAUCAAGAAGGUGGUGAAGCAGCAUCAGAAGGCCCCCAUAAGGGCAUCUUGUGUUACACUAAGAACGAGGUUGUCUCCUCCAGCUUAACCACUGACACCCACUCUUUCACCUUGGAUCCUGGGACUGGCAAUGCCCUCAAUGACCACUUUGUUAAGCUCAUUUUCUGAUGUGAAAAUGAGUUUGGCUACAGCAACAGGGUGGUUAACCUCAUGGCUCACGUGGCCUCCAAGGAGUAAGACCUGUGGACCACCAGCCCCAGCGAUGGCAUGAGAGGAAAACAGAGGCCCUCAGCUGCUGGGGAGUCCCUGCCACACUCAGUCCCCCCCAACACUGAGAAUCUCUCCUCCACACAGUUUAGUGCAGACCCCCUGAAGAGGGAGGUGCCUAGGGAACCCCACCUUGUCAUGUGCCACCAAUAAAGUCCCCUGUCUGUACUCAGAAAAAAAAAAUGCAAUAUUAGGAAGACUCACAAAGAUUACUGAUCACCAAAAGAAUAGACAGCAUGAUUUCUCCAUCCUCCUAUUUUAUACUGAUGCAUAAAUGGUCAGGAAAUGCUGGGCUUACAAUGGGAGUCUGCAUUCCAGUGUGGGAACAAUAGUCUCCCUUGUUAUAAUUUUUUAUCACGUAAGCACAAGACACAGCUUUAUCAAUGGGGGAACACACAGGCUGUUGGUGUGAAACAUUCUAGACUUAGGUGUCAGCUGUUCACAAGAUUGUCUGGAAAAAUCAACUGCCCGGCAUCUAGAGUCCUUGGGGUUCACGCAAAGCGUUUACCUUUUCUUAGGGGAGAAAGCCACCCAUUUUACAGGGAUCUAUACUAAGCACAGUCUCUCAUGCUGGGAAAAGGAAAAUCCCUCUUUUUGGCCGGCUUACUAAACUCCUGGUUUACUUUAGGAUAAUUACACCCCUUGUGCUUGAGUCCCAGAGAGGUCAUGAGAAGCAUAGAAUAAGUUUCAAAGGCACAGGACUAGAUGAAAUAAGUUAGGGUAAGAAUAUUCAUGUAUAACAGGGGAAGUUUCUGGACUGAAUCCUGGAAUACACAUAUCAACAUUUGGAAGUUGAACAGAGAAGGAGGGGCCAGCUAAAUAUGCUGAGUAGGAGUUGGUGGCAGCAAGGAGAAAAAUUAGGAGGACAUGGCCUUGUGAAAGUCAAGUGAAGAAAGUGUUUCAAGAAAAGUUUGGUUCACUAUGUUGUGUGCUGCUGUCACAUCAAAUGCAAUAGGAAAAUAAACGAUUAUUGAUUUUGGCAACAUUGUAAGUAAUUUGUUUAGAGCAAUUUCCACAAAUAGUUGGGUUGGAAGUUCAACUGGAAAGUCCAACACACAAUUCAUUUGUGUGUUGAGGAAGAGAAGAAAAAUGUGGAAAGAGUGACUCGUAAAAACACCUGUUCAAGAAGUUGUACCAUGAAGAUCUCAGUAAAAAGGUGUUACAGCCAGUGGAGUGAAGAGUUUGUUCUUGUUGUGUUGUCUUAAACUGUACUACUCCUUUACUGAUCCUUAGCACCUUGUACAGAGCAAUGUUCAAACAUUGUUGAGUGUUUGACGAAAUAAAGUGUCUAUGUCUCAUACAUAUUUUUAUUACCAUAAACAUUUGCACAACAUCUGACAUAUCAUAGGAACUUAAUACAUGUUUAUUUAAUAAACGAAUGGAAAGAUGAGUGAAAAAAUCAAGACUCUAGAAUGUC